AAGGACCUCUGCUCGCUCCAGUCAACUCCACUCACUCAGUCCCUGCUCACUCCGGCCCAAGUAUUUAUUUAUUAUUAUACAUAAGUACACUGUAGCUGUCUUCAGACACACCAGAAGAGGGCGUCAGAUCUCAUUACAGGUGGUCGAGAGCCACCAUGUGGUGUCUGGGAUUUGGACCUUUGGAAGAGCAGUCAGUGUUCUUACCUGCUCAACCAUCCCGCCAGCCCAAGUUUUAAGUUUUAAUGAAGUCCAAUUUUCCUUUUUUUGUUAUUGUUGUUGUUGUUGCUUGUAAUUUCUGUGUCAUAUCUGAAAACAUAGUCUCUAACUCAAAUCUAUAAAGAUUUCCUUACAUUUUUUUCCUGAGAGUUUCAUGUUAGGUUCUCACAUUUAGGACUUUGGUGCAUUUUCAGUUACUUCUUGUGUGAGAUAAUGUAGGCAUUUAACUUUAUCCUUCCACAUAUGGAUAUUCCAUUUUUCCAGGACCACUUAUUUAAAAAUGUUAUUUCCCUACUGCAUUACCUUUCUGAAAGAAAUCAUCAGGCCCAUUUAAUUUGGUAGGUAAUUUCUAAUGCUCUUUCUAGAAGUAGAUCCUUCUAAUAUUAAAAAUUACUAGAGAAUGGAAAAGUACUCUGACCCAUUUUGUGUGACUAGAUUUGUUUUGAAAACAAAAUUAGUGAUAAAAGGGAAAUUACCAGCUUUGUUUAUAAAUAAAUCUGCAAAAAUUCUAAUCAUAAUAAAAGCCUGCCCAAUCUAGCCACAUCUGAAAGGUGGUGUGUAUGAUAAGCAAAGUCUACUCAAGGAGUGUGGGCAUGACCUGCCAGUACCUCCUGCCACAUUGACAGACUAAAGAAAAAAAAAGACAUUCAUGACAUCAUUACAAAUUCAGAAAAAGUAAACUCCAAAUUCACUCGUAAUGAUUCUGAAUACUGAAAAGAGAAGGUCCCUGUUACCCUGAAAAGAGGGUGUCGACCGCAGAGCUACAGAUGGGUCAGUCUGAACGAGGAGAUGGUGACCACGGUCCUGUUGUGUACUUAAGGGCACGGCGAGGGUGCUCACUACUAUUGCUUCUGUUCAGCAUUUCACUGGAAGUCAGAACCAGCAUAAAAGGUUUAAAAAAAAAAAAGAGCGAUAAAAUUUAAUUGCAGAUAAUCUCCUGACUGUAGAAAACAUAAAAUCGUCUCUAGGUACAUUUUGGAAAAAACUUUUGAACUAGCUAGUAUCUGAAAACAAUUGUUUCAACCGAAAAUAUAUGUAAUGAAAAAGAGAAUACAGAGUUUGGUGAGUGGUGAAAGGGUAUUGGGAGAGAGUGGUUAAUAUCAUCAACAUACUGGAAAUAUAUUGUAUGAAAGUCUCGGAGAAUAAAAAAAAGGUUUCACUAGUAGAUUCUGUUACAUCUACUGUAUCGGUUGAAACCCACUGAGUCCAUUUUGUGCCUUUACAUUCCUGGGAAUGUGGGCAUCCAGACAAGGAUGGUCAGCCUACCAGAGGCCACCCAUACUUCAAGGUUUAAAUUCCUUGGUAUUAAUUAUACACAGCAUUUUAAUUCAUUAUCACCCAUUAAACAGUUUUAAAAGCAUGUUGGACAGUAGCAUAAAACUAUGAGCUACUCUGGGAAAAGUUUAGAAAAGACUUUUUAUAAAAUGUCAAGUCUUCAGAGAAAACCCAAGUCAGUGCUCUUAACCACUGAGUCAUCUCUCCAGCCCUCAGUGAGAUUUUAUAAUCAGAAAAUGAUGUGUGUGGGCAGAGGAGGGAAGCUUCAGGUCUUAGUUCACUCAGGAAGCCUCAGCAAGUUUCCUGGUUAAUCGAUAAGCCUGUUGUAAGCGAAAGGAGGACUGAGGACGUGUGAAGACUGUGUGACUUCUAUAAAGGUACGCAAGCAUAGGAUUGGCAAAAGCACAGUGUGACCAAAGGAAUGUAGGAGAAAGUGUGCUAAGGAAGUCAGCACAGUUGGUGACAUUGUUCAUCAGAAGGAAAGGGUCUUUCUCUCUCAUAAAUGAUGCUAUGGCAAGUGAAAUCAGAUCCCCGCCACACCCAUAUAUAAAAAUAUAAAAAAAUAUAUAAAAAUAAACUUCAGUUGUGAAUGGUGACACCCACACUUGGUUGUGUAGGCAGGAGUAUCAUGAGUUCAGGAGGCCAACCUGGGCAAUAUAGUAAGAUCCUGUUUCAAUAACAAAAAUAGUUUUUCAGAUGUAGAACUUAAUACCUAAAAAACAAUUUGCAGGUUUAUUAUACGGAGCAGAAUUUAAAAAACAGAAGCACAACUUAAAUAACUCAAGAAAAAGACAAUAGAAAAAUGAUGAGGUUUCUAAGGAUGGCAGCAACAUCCACCAUCAUUCUUAAUUACGCAACUAUUAGCCUGUUAGAGAAGGGAGCGUUCAGAUGUUUGACAGUCCCAAACAGUGGGAAGUGUGGCUCAGCAAGAAUUCCUGUGUGGGAGUGUUAAACAUACCACUCUGAUACUGUCACUUCAGUUUGAAAAUACAUGUACCCUGUGACCCAGCAGUCCUACUCCUGGGCAUAGGCACAAGCAGAGCCCUGCUGCCGUGUGUACAUGAGUGUGCACUGUGCUGUUUAUAACCGCAGUGGCUUCAGAGGAACUGCUGAUGGAAUGAAGGAUAAUAAGACAGC
RNAcentral lists this long non-coding RNA (2628 nucleotides) under Mus musculus (house mouse). Its description in RNAcentral is "long non-coding RNA chr12:85935194-85937822". The record is from RNAcentral. Lineage: Eukaryota; Metazoa; Chordata; Mammalia; Rodentia; Muridae.